This is a long non-coding RNA of Oncorhynchus keta (chum salmon), 1722 nucleotides long. RefSeq lists it as uncharacterized. The record is from RefSeq and is a predicted model, not a curated record. NCBI's taxonomy places the organism in Eukaryota, Metazoa, Chordata, Actinopteri, Salmoniformes, Salmonidae. The transcript is spliced from 3 exons.
GGUGAUCUGGGUGGGGUCAGUCGGUCAUCCAGGUGAUCUGGGUGGGGUCAGUCGGUCAUCCAGGUGAUCUGGGUGGGGUCAGUCGGUCAUCCAGGUGAUCUGGGUGGGGUCAGUCGGUCAUCCAGGUGAUCUGGGUGGGGUCAGUCGGUCAUCCAGGUGAUCUGGGUGGGGUCAGUCGGUCAUCCAGGUGAUCUGGGUGGGGUCAGUCGGUCAUCCAGGUGAUCUGGGUGGGGUCAGUCGGUCAUCCAGGUGAUCUGGGUGGGGUCAGUCGGUCAUCCAGGUGAUCUGGGUGGGGUCAGUCGGUCAUCCAGGUGAUCUGGGUGGGGUCAGUCGGUCAUCCAGGUGAUCUGGGUGGGGUCAGUCGGUCAUCCAGGUGAUCUGGGUGGGGUCAGUCGGUCAUCCAGGUGAUCUGGGUGGGGUCAGUCGGUCAUCCAGGUGAUCUGGGUGGGGUCAGUCGGUCAUCCAGGUGAUCUGGGUGGGGUCAGUCGGUCAUCCAGGUGAUCCGGGUGGGGUCAGUCGGUCAUCCAGGUACAUGUUUAAUGACGACAGACACCGGUCACGAUGGCUUGAACCCCGGGUCACAAGACUUGCGUUAGCUUCCUGAGCGAAGGGCUGAGCCUCGGCAUUAUCUCCAAGAGCUAAACAAGUCUUCAUGUUCACAGAAUCACCUCCGUUACAUAAACCUCCACAACUUCUGGUCACAUGACUCCAGUCUCAGCUCUCUCCUCUUCCCGACUCUAUCCUGACCCAAUCUGAGAUGGGUUGUACCGCCCUGAGGAGAAGUUGGCCCUAACCACAAAUCUAGGAUCAUCUUCGUCACCUCUUAACCUUAAAGCAUUGAGGGGAAACAGAACUGAUUCAAGAUCAGCGUCUGUCAGCUUCUGGUCACAUGACCCCAGUCCCAUCUCUCUCCUCCAUGUGUAUAAAUAUAGCUGGAUGUUUUUCCAACGCUGCUUCUAUCUUCCUGAGUCUCGCUCAUUCUCCUCCUUUCUUUGUGUUGGGGGGCUGAAUAUUAAAUUAGAACAGCCAUGGUCAAAACACAGGGGGAGGAACUGAAUAUUAAAUUAGAACAGCCAUGGUCAAAACAGAGGGGAGGAACUGAAUAUUAAAUUAGAACAGCCAUGGUCAAAACAGAGGGAGGAACUGAAUAUUAAAUUAGAACAGCCAUGGUCAAAACAGAGGGAGGAACUGAAUAUUAAAUUAGAACAGCCAUGGUCAAAACAGAGGGAGGAACUGAAUAUUAAAUUAGAACAGCCAUGGUCAAAACAGAGGGAGGAACUGAUAUUAAAUUAGAACAGCCAUGGUCAAAACAGAGGGAGGAACUGAUAUUAAAUUAGAACAGCCAUGGUCAAAACAGAGGGAGGAACUGAAAAGGGGGAGGGACCAUAGUACUGUUUUUGUUUGUUUGGUAAGAAUAAAAAGUUAUUUUUACGUUCGCUUGUGAGCAUCGACAGAGACCAGAGUGGUUUCUGGGCCCCGCUGAGUGAGUGAGUGAGUGAGUGAGUGAGUGAGUGAGUGAGUGAGUGAGAGUGUGUGUGUGUGUGUGUGUGUGUGUGUGUGUGUGUUGUAGCUACUCUGCUGUGUGUUGACAGUAUGAACCAGAACGUGGUGUGCUUGCAGUGAUGCAUAUUUUGGAUUUAUUCCUCUCAGAAUAAAUAAAUGUUCUAAACAAGCUCCGUUCCACUGGACUCUUUUACUACGGUCUGUCUGUCUGUUUGUCGU